CAGCACCUCAAGUGGUCAGGAUGAUUAUUGGGCCUAAAGCAUCCGUAGCUUGCUUUGUAAGUUCUCGGUUAAAUCCAUGCGCUUAACGUAUGGGCUGCCGGCAAUACUGCAAAGCUAGGGAGUGGGAGAGGUAGACGGUACUCGGUAGGAAGGGGUAAAAUCCUUUGAUCUAUUGAUGACCACCUGUGGCGAAGGCGGUCUACCAGAACACGUCCGACGGUGAGGGAUGAAAGCUGGGGGAGCAAACCGGAUUAGAUACCCGGGUAGUCCCAGCUGUAAACUAUGCAAACUCAGUGAUGCAUUGGCUUGUGGCCAAUGCAGUGCUGCAGGGAAGCCGUUAAGUUUGCCGCCUGGGAAGUACGUACGCAAGUAUG
RNAcentral lists this ribosomal RNA (374 nucleotides) under uncultured bacterium. RNAcentral's name for it is "bacterial SSU rRNA". It matches the Rfam family "Archaeal small subunit ribosomal RNA", at positions 477 to 851 of the family's 1478-position model. The record is from RNAcentral.